CGUCAAGUCAUCAUGGCCCUUACGCCCAGGGCUGCACACGUGCUACAAUGGUCGGUACAGAGGGCGGCGACGUCGUGAGGCGGAGCGAAUCCUCAAAGCCGAUCUCAGUUCGGAUCGGAGUCUGCAACUCGACUCCGUGAAGUCGGAAUCGCUAGUAAUCGCGUAUCAGCUACGACGCGGUGAAUACGUUCCCGGGCCUU
RNAcentral lists this ribosomal RNA (200 nucleotides) under uncultured organism. Its description in RNAcentral is "partial small subunit ribosomal RNA". It matches the Rfam family "Bacterial small subunit ribosomal RNA", at positions 1183 to 1382 of the family's 1533-position model. The record is from RNAcentral.